RNAcentral lists this unclassified non-coding RNA (240 nucleotides) under soil metagenome. RNAcentral's name for it is "partial contains 5.8S ribosomal RNA, internal transcribed spacer 2, and large subunit ribosomal RNA". The record is from RNAcentral.
AACACUGUUAACCUGCGGUACCUGCGGAGGGAUCAUUACGAGAGUGUCACCACUCCCAACCCAUUGUUUACCUACCCGUCCACCGUGCUUCGGCAGGCAGCCCUGUGGGACAGAGCCUCGCCCCCUUUCGCGGGGGGUGCCUGCCGCUUGCCAACCAAAACUCUAGCUGUUCUAGUACCAUCUGAGUCUUCCACAAAUGAACAAAACUUUCAGCAAUGGAUCUCAGAUCGGAAGAGCACA